UUAAAUUGAAGAGUUUGAUCAUGGCUCAGAUUGAACGCUGGCGGCAGGCCUAACACAUGCAAGUCGAACGGUAACAGGAAACAGCUUGCUGUUUCGCUGACGAGUGGCGGACGGGUGAGUAAUGUCUGGGAAACUGCCUGAUGGAGGGGGAUAACUACUGGAAACGGUAGCUAAUACCGCAUAACGUCGCAAGACCAAAGAGGGGGACCUUCGGGCCUCUUGCCAUCGGAUGUGCCCAGAUGGGAUUAGCUAGUAGGUGGGGUAACGGCUCACCUAGGCGACGAUCCCUAGCUGGUCUGAGAGGAUGACCAGCCACACUGGAACUGAGACACGGUCCAGACUCCUACGGGAGGCAGCAGUGGGGAAUAUUGCACAAUGGGCGCAAGCCUGAUGCAGCCAUGCCGCGUGUAUGAAGAAGGCCUUCGGGUUGUAAAGUACUUUCAGCGGGGAGGAAGGGAGUAAAGUU
RNAcentral lists this ribosomal RNA (466 nucleotides) under Escherichia coli. RNAcentral's name for it is "bacterial SSU rRNA". It matches the Rfam family "Bacterial small subunit ribosomal RNA", at positions 1 to 461 of the family's 1533-position model. Lineage: Bacteria; Pseudomonadati; Pseudomonadota; Gammaproteobacteria; Enterobacterales; Enterobacteriaceae. The record is from RNAcentral.